CUUAAUUAUAGGGAUUUAUAUCAAUCUAAUCUAUACGUUCCUAUUCUAACACUCCCACUCAAGUUGGAGUAUACAUACUGUAUGCUCCUAGCUUAUUACAGAUGUACUCAAUUCUAGUCCCUUGGAGAGAUUUAGUGAGAAUGUUAGCUAACUGAUCCUUUGAACUGACAAAACUUGUAGCAAUAUAUCCAGACUCUCUGUCUAAUAAAGUGAUAAUUUAUCUCUAUGUGCUUUAUCCUUUCAUGAAACAUAGGAUUAGAAACGAUAUGUAAUGCACUCAUCUUCAUUUGUUCAUCUCCUCCACAUUUUAACUCAUGAAGAAGUUUAACCAUAUAAGCUCGCACGUAGCCAAUGCCACAGCCCCGUACUCUGCUUCCACACUUGACCUGGCCACUACAUCUUGCUUCUUACUUUUCCAAAAUAUUGGAUUCCCUCCAAUUAGAACGCAAUACGCUUAAGUUGACCUUCUAUUUGAAGGAGAUCCUACCCAGCCUGCAUCAGAAUAUCCUAUAAUCUGUGCAUGUCCCCUAUUUUCAUAUAACAAACCAUUUUUACCCUUACUUGUUGUAUGUUUGUCCCCAAAGCUUAUUUACUUUUAGGCUUAUAUCAUCUACUAAAAUAUUUACAAGAAUAGGAUUUUAUAAUUUAUUAACUCGUCCUGUUAGUACUAGGAUUUAGAACCCGAAAAUCAAUUAGCAAAGGAAUCAAUUGAUAAACCAUUGGAAAACAAACAUAUUUUUGGUAUUCUUAUAUAUAUAGCUCAAAUGGAAAAAAAGAACAGUAAUAAAGUUAGAAAGUGUAGCGUAAGAAAUAGGAAAAAUGCAAUUAAAAACAAAGGUAACAAGACAAAUUAAAGCUAUAAAGGAAAUAUUGAAAGUAUAAAUAUUAAAGAAAGCAAGUGAAUGACAAAAAAAUAAACCUUGAAAUAGAUGUAAAAAAUGAUCUUUUUGUACAAGACCUCUCUUCCUCUUUCCAUUCUCAUAUUUAUAGACGAAGUCUACUUCCUCCUCAAUGCACAAGGUAAACAUGGACUAUCAUACAAUUUUCCUUAAUUUCUUUGGCCAUUUGAAAUACAUUUGGUUUCUUAUCCCUUAAAUUUCUUUGGGCAUGAGAAAUACAUCUAGAUUCUUAUCCCUUUGCCAAUCUUACUCCCUUAUUGAUGACAUCUUAUACUAUCAGUAAAGAUUUAAGAAUUUUGGAUUAAAUGGAACCAAUCAGCCCUUCGCCAAAUCAGUUUGGGUUUCUUAGGGCUUGCUUACUUACGGUUUUCCAUUUUCUAAAAAAACUCUAGUUUUCAAUUUCCAUGGAAAACGCGUUCACCUGUCAAUAAU
This 1331-nucleotide unclassified non-coding RNA is filed under the name Hevea brasiliensis (rubber tree). Lineage: Eukaryota; Viridiplantae; Streptophyta; Magnoliopsida; Malpighiales; Euphorbiaceae. The record is from RNAcentral.